This 445-nucleotide ribosomal RNA is filed under the name uncultured bacterium. Its description in RNAcentral is "partial 16S ribosomal RNA". It matches the Rfam family "Bacterial small subunit ribosomal RNA", at positions 354 to 796 of the family's 1533-position model. The record is from RNAcentral.
GUGAGGAAUAUUGGUCAAUGGACGUAAGUCUGAACCAGCCAAGUAGCGUGCAGGACGAAGGCCCUAUGGGUUGUAAACUGCUUUUAUGCGGGGGUAAAGUGAGUGACGUGUCAUUCAUUGCAAGUACCGCAAGAAUAAGGACCGGCUAAUUCCGUGCCAGCAGCCGCGGUAAUACGGAAGGUCCUGGUGUUAUCCGGAUUUAUUGGGUUUAAAGGGAGCGUAGGCCGUCAGGCAAGCGUGUUGUGAAAUGUCGUGGCUCAACCAUGGACUUGCAGCGCGAACUGCCCGACUUGAGUGAGCAGAAAGCAGGCGGAAUUUGUGGUGUAGCGGUGAAAUGCUUAGAUAUCACGAAGAACCCCGAUUGCGAAGGCAGCCUGCUGUAGCGCUACUGACGCUGAAGCUCGAAAGUGCGGGUAUCGAACAGGAUUAGAAACCCGGGUAGUCC